Non-coding RNA from Pimephales promelas (fathead minnow), 3300 nucleotides. The record is from RefSeq and is a predicted model, not a curated record. NCBI's taxonomy places the organism in Eukaryota, Metazoa, Chordata, Actinopteri, Cypriniformes, Leuciscidae.
CAAGAAAGACUACACGUCGCAUAUGUGACGUCACUGCAUAACACAUUUUCCCUUCACAAAUCACGGUACGAUAAUCUAAGGAAUUAGAUCGCCUGUGUGUUUUGUACCCAAAUGUCACUAUUCAAAGAAUGGUUUGUUUAGCGGUAUCCGUGUGCUGGUGGUGGUGACGUACCGUAUAUCAAACGUGUCGAAACCAGCGAAGAGUUGUAGUCCACAGAGUGCUCUCAUACAAAGUCUAACCGUAUGAAAAUUCUACCCGCUAAGUUGUAGCAUUCUUUACACGAAAAAUUAUAUAAACAAUUCACAGACAACAUAUGUUCUCAGUCAUUGCAAAAUUCAAACGGGAUUAGAAAAUAAUUAUUUUCUCUCAUUCACUUGCAUUGACGAUUUUUCAACCUAGAGGCCCAGCAGGGUUAGCGGAAGGGGCGGUACUUACCAGCUCUAUAGUUUUGAACUUUAACAGAGAACCCGCCUACAAGGAAGUAAACGUUUCUCAAUGGAGAGAGGCCAGACUCUCUGUACAAAUGAAAUGUACGAGAGUCUGGUUGAACCAGGCUAGUACAUGUGGGAAGUGUAGUUUGAUGCCGACUGAGGCGGGAGUUUUUUAAAAGUAGAAAUGAUUUGAACUUGAGUGCAGUGUUUUUAGAACACCAUUUCAUGUGCGAGUUAUAACUCACAACAUUUGUGUGUGUUUACAAGGACAUGACUGUGGUUUAUGAGGACAUAGUUUGGUUUUACAAUAAACAAACAGACAACUACAGUGGCCAGCUAAACAAAUGUUUUGUUAAAGAUAUUCUUGAAUAAAUCCAAUGCAGCGCUGCCGAUGAUCUCCUGUUUUUCCUAGCAAAAUACUCUUAUAAGAAGUUCUACUCUCAUCUAUGUCUUUAGAUCCAUAAUCGAAAAAAAAAAAAAAAAAAAAAAAACAGCCGAAAACUCGAGAACUGAUUGAGAAGAAAUUGAAAGGAAACUGGAAAUUGGGUUGUAGGAGGAGCCCUGGCCCUGUAGGAAGAGCAUUUCCCACUGUGCCACAGUUCUUACAUAAAUAUUUUUUGUUAACUAACUGCAUCUGUGUGGUAUCACCAUCUCAGUGUGUUGGCAGUCUUCAUCUCUGAACAGCUUUUGCGAGUCACACCAGCCCUUUUCCUCCAAUUUCACAGCAGUUUUACCCCAGGAUAAAUAAUGCCCUGUUUUCAGAGCAAAAAAAAAGGGGGGAGAGAAAUCACAUUAUGAUUCAUCAGUCCACCAUUUUUUGAUUAAAACUCCCCCUUAAAACAUUUCCAUUCGCCUCGUUCCUUCGCCAACCCCCUGCCUCUGUUAUUUAUUCCAUAGCUGGUGAGUGCUAACUUUUUUUUUUCUUUUCUCCCUCACUGCUUUUUCUUGGCAUAAUUUGAUUGUGUGAAAUGACCAUGAAAAAACUAUUACAACAGGUCCUUAGCUGUGACGAACACAAACAGGCGGUGGGGCUUGUUUACAGAAGGCCUGACGGUAAUGGCUUUUUCCUGAGGUGUUGAAAAGAGAGCAUACGCAGCCAGUGGUUGGAUGGAAAUUUCAAAGAACACCAAUGUCACCUCUUCUCUUCUCUGAUGAUGUUUGCACUGGCGCGAGGGCGGGGGAACCACAUGAGAUCAUAUGAGAAUAAAAGCCUAAAUUCAGUCCGUUCAUCAUAAACGACAGUGUCUGUUCAGAAAAGUUGGAAUAAACCGCUCAAUUCAGAUAGAUUAGUUUUACGAUCUCUUUAUGAAAUCUCAUCUGUGUUCUGAGGUGUUCUUAGGGGUUUGGAGUGAGUAAAUUAUAAGAAUUUUCUUUUUGGGGGAACUAUCCCUUUAAUUCAGAACAGUUCUGAAGUAUCAUUACUCGGGAACUUUACACCAACUUGCUACUCUAUAAAAUGUCCAUAAAGUGUUAAUCUGUCAAGUUUUGUAAAAGUAUUCAGAUUCGUUUUACUGAAGAAGCCAGACUUGAUGGGAACAUGAAAAGCGCAAUGCCCUGUCUGGUGUCCUUUGCCUCUAACUUUCUCCCUCUCUCUUUUCCCCCCUCGUCUAUUCCCUUUAUACCGCCAGGGUCAAGGCUUUCCUCACCCACGACAUUUCUCUCCACAUCUUGUGGUUUUGAACUACAUCCAGCACCAUGCAAGACAACUUCAUCAAAGCGGUGCAGGGCCUAACGUGUCAUCCCACUGAUCAAAAACAUACAGUUCCAUUUUCACCCCUCACAACUGAAGAGGAGAAAAAAAAAAAUCUUCAAAGGACAGUCAGCUUCUUUCUAGCACGCACGUAAGAUGGUUUGUGAUGCUGCCAAUUUCUCUAAUAAUUCUGCUCUGGGGAUGGAGUGGUGAAGAGAGGAUAGGAAGAAAGGAUGGGGGGGGGGGUAUGUGGAAGAAUGCAACAUUUUGAUACGGAAAAGAGGUAAUAUUCAUUAGGUUCAUCAUUAAGAUAAACAGGGCUUAAUGACACCUUCUUUAAUUGGCCUUGGCGCUUAAUAACGAACCAUUUAAUUUGCUGAAUAGCUAUCCGCUCAUCUCCCCUCGGGGUAUACUAACUUCAGAAUGAGUGAUCGAAGAAAGAAAGGGAGCAAGAUGAAGAAAGAAAGGGAGUUCUGCAUUUUAGUGAGUAAUUAAAAGAACCCCGUUAGAAAGAGCAUCAUUCAGUUCAAUUUAACAACAUUUAUUGCAUGAUAUCAAAGUAGGGUAAAUGAUCUAUAAAUUCAUGAUUUGUUAGUUGGUCGACCUUACCGAUUGAUUAAUGAUUAACUGAUAAGCGGCUAUUUUCCUGAAAAUGUCAAUUUCUCACGGUAUCAAUAGUGUCUUUAACAUAAAAAGCAAAAUAUUGCUGAUAUACUGGAUAAAAAUGCAUGUUAUAUUGCCCAGUUGGUGUUUUAUUUUAACAGAUACGGUACAGAUAAUUGCCUUUAUGUAGUUAAACAAAAUACAUUAUGCAUAGAAAAUGAACAUACAUAAAACAUAAUUGUGCACUGGCUCACCUGUUGCAUGUGAAACAUUAAGCAAGAUAAAAUAUAUUUUAAAGAAAAAUCUAUGGGUAGGCUUAACCUAGACUAUAUUAAGCAUACAUACAGUAUAAUAAUCUAAACUACUUAUAUGAAACACUUAAUCCCACUUAUAAUCCCCCUUGGUCUGAGAAAGGUAAAAGUUCAUUAUUAGACAUACAAACCUUAAAUGUAGACUGAACACAACUUAAAUCAUCCCUGAGGAAGAUAAGCGUGAAAUUAAAGGGCAGAGUUUUCCAUACCCAUUUAUUUGUGGCGGCCCGCCACAAGAUCAACGUUGAUCACCACAAAAAAAAA